UACAGGGGGUGCAAACGUUGCUCGGAAUCAUUGGGCGUAAAGAGCUCGUAGGCGGUUCGGCAAGUCGGAUGUGAAAUCUCCACGCUUAACGUGGGGGGGCCAUUCGAAACUGCUGUGACUCGAGUCCGGUAGGGGAGUGUGGAAUUCCCGGUGUAGCGGUGAAAUGCGCAGAUAUCAGGAGGAACACCGGUGGCGAAGGCGGGAUCUCUGGGCAGUAACUGACGCUGGAGGAGCGAAAGCGUGGGGAGCGAACAGG
RNAcentral lists this ribosomal RNA (256 nucleotides) under uncultured bacterium. RNAcentral describes it as "partial 16S ribosomal RNA". It matches the Rfam family "Bacterial small subunit ribosomal RNA", at positions 524 to 776 of the family's 1533-position model. The record is from RNAcentral.